Molecule: ribosomal RNA, 492 nt
Filed under: uncultured bacterium
Lineage: Bacteria
Description: partial 16S ribosomal RNA
Rfam family: Bacterial small subunit ribosomal RNA
Source: RNAcentral
AGUGAACGCUGGCGGUAGGCCUAACACAUGCAAGUCGAACGGCAGCACAGUAAGAGCUUGCUCUUACGGGUGGCGAGUGGCGGACGGGUGAGGAAUACAUCGGAAUCUACUUUUUCGUGGGGGAUAACGUAGGGAAACUUACGCUAAUACCGCAUACGACCUACGGGUGAAAGCAGGGGAUCUUCGGACCUUGCGCGAUUGAAUGAGCCGAUGUCGGAUUAGCUAGUUGGCGGGGUAAAGGCCCACCAAGGCGACGAUCCGUAGCUGGUCUGAGAGGAUGAUCAGCCACACUGGAACUGAGACACGGUCCAGACUCCUACGGGAGGCAGCAGUGGGGAAUAUUGGACAAUGGACGCAAGCCUGAUCCAGCCAUACCGCGUGGGUGAAGAAGGCCUUCUGGUUGUAAAGCCCUUUUGUUGGGAAAGAAAAGCAGCAGGUUAAUACCCCGCUGUUCUGACGGUACCCAAAGAAUAAGCACCGGCUAACUUCGUG